AAUUAAUUUAUGGUUACAUUGUUUUGGUGUAAAUUAGAGAUGUCCUAACUAAGACAAUAUGUGCUGGCUUACAUCUUGAUGUGGCUCAUGAGUUUUUUAAAGUUCCCAUGACAUGGCGCACUUUGGAUGCUUUUAUAUAGACCUUAGUGGUCCCCUAAUAUAAUAUCUGAAGUAUAUUUUCCAAAAUUCAGCCUUGGUGCAGAAUUAGAGCCACCAGAGCUUGCCAUUUCCGAGUCUGUAGCUUUUGAGGAGGAGAGAUGGGGGGGGGCAAGGUGGAGGCUGAGGGUGUGGCCUUGACCAACUGCCACUUUGCUUGUUUAAAAGCCAUGAUGUCUCUCGGUCAUGGGUGGGCCAAAUUCUCUGGGUAAUAAAAGCAGAGAAAGGGGAAGUAACCUCAGAUCUGCCCAACUGAGCUUUCAUUUUCUCAAAGACAGAGCACGAUACCCAUGGCGACCAAUGGGGGGACCACAGGCAGGCUGUGGGAACUCAUAUUAAUGUUAAAAAAACUCAAAGUUUCAUGCAAUGGGACCUUUAAAUAAAACCUAUAUUAGGUCGGCUGGCUAUGAUAAAAUGCAGUUCUUAUUGUUAACACUAGAUGUCAAUAUCCCCAUAUGUGUAGUUGCCAGAUGCCAUCAAGGAAGUCAAUCUCCUGUGGGAGAAAUUGUGUUGAGUUAUAACUCUCUAACAAUGACAGGUGAGCAGAAUGGAAUGAUAUCCUGUGUGUGUCGCAGUGAAGUCUGGAGGAGAGGCUGCGCCACAGCUACCUAGCUGGGUGAUGUGAUCUUUUCCGAUCAGAAGCACUUAAUCACCACUGCUGAAAAACAUGGAUAAACAUUUAAUUUCCCAUAAAUUCUUGACAAACGUCCCUUGAUGUUUUGUUAUUUAAAAGCUUUAAUUAGCAGCAAAAUCAAGGAAUGUAUCAGCAGUAACUUAACAAGUCCUAUACAAGUGAAAGCAAACAUGAAACAGUAAAAUAAAGCAUAAGUACAAACAGGGACGCAGCAGAGAAACUACAUUUUUGUCAGAAGCUACAAAAGUAAUGGUUUGACUGAGUGCAGCCUAAAGUGCCAUAUGGUGAAAAAAACACCAUGUGUGAGUUAGCCUUGUGAUGGAAACUGCACACCCAAAAUUAAUUGUCACUCUCUCACUUAGUGUAAACUGUGAGAGCUUUUCAGCCUUUUAUUGCUUAUUGUUUUGGAACACAUUUAGCAAGCACUAUCAGGCAUCAUGCUGCAUUUUAGGUGAUAGAAUGUAAAUAGUAGUGAAAAUCAACAACUGUAAAGAGUACCUAGUGAGGUGCAGACCAGUAUGGGCUUCAUUGCAAUUUUAUUCAAACUAAAAAAGAAUUUCCAUCCUGCCUUCAUCAGGGUAAUUGUGUCCUGUUUACUGUGCUCCAAUUUUGAAGGAACGCUAAAUUGGCAA
Molecule: long non-coding RNA, 1422 nt
Organism: Etheostoma spectabile (orangethroat darter)
Lineage: Eukaryota; Metazoa; Chordata; Actinopteri; Perciformes; Percidae
Exons: 2
Source: RefSeq, a predicted model, not a curated record